UGCUUAACACAUGCAAGUCGAACGAUGAUCCGGUGCUUGCACCGGGGAUUAGUGGCGAACGGGUGAGUAACACGUGAGUAACCUGCCCUUGACUCUGGGAUAAGCCUGGGAAACCGGGUCUAAUACCGGAUAUGACCUGUCACCGCAUGGUGGUGGGUGGAAAGAUUUUUUGGUCUUGGAUGGACUCGCGGCCUAUCAGCUUGUUGGUGGGGUAAUGGCCUACCAAGGCGACGACGGGUAGCCGGCCUGAGAGGGUGACCGGCCACACUGGGACUGAGACACGGCCCAGACUCCUACGGGAGGCAGCAGUGGGGAAUAUUGCACAAUGGGCGCAAGCCUGAUGCAGCGACGCCGCGUGAGGGAUGAAUGCCUUCGGGUUGUAAACCUCUUUCAGCAGGGAAGAAGCGAAAGUGACGGUACCUGCAGAAGAAGCGCCGGCUAACUACGUGCCAGCAGCCGCGGUAAUACGUAGGGCGCAAGCGUUGUCCGGAAUUAUUGGGCGUAAAGAGCUCGUAGGCGGUUUGUCGCGUCUGCUGUGAAAGCCCGGGGCUCAACCCCGGGUCUGCAGUGGGUACGGGCAGACUAGAGUGCAGUAGGGGAGACUGGAAUUCCUGGUGUAGCGGUGAAAUGCGCAGAUAUCAGGAGGAACACCGAUGGCGAAGGCAGGUCUCUGGGCUGUAACUGACGCUGAGGAGCGAAAGCAUGGGGAGCGAACAGGAUUAGAUACCCUGGUAGUCCAUGCCGUAAACGUUGGGCACUAGGUGUGGGGGACAUUCCACGUUUUCCGCGCCGUAGCUAACGCAUUAAGUGCCCCGCCUGGGGAGUACGGCCGCAAGGCUAAAACUCAAAGGAAUUGACGGGGGCCCGCACAAGCGGCGGAGCAUGCGGAUUAAUUCGAUGCAACGCGAAGAACCUUACCAAGGCU
RNAcentral lists this ribosomal RNA (925 nucleotides) under Crystallibacter crystallopoietes. RNAcentral describes it as "bacterial SSU rRNA". It matches the Rfam family "Bacterial small subunit ribosomal RNA", at positions 45 to 981 of the family's 1533-position model. Lineage: Bacteria; Bacillati; Actinomycetota; Actinomycetes; Micrococcales; Micrococcaceae. The record is from RNAcentral.